Molecule: non-coding RNA, 29 nt
Filed under: Homo sapiens (human)
Lineage: Eukaryota; Metazoa; Chordata; Mammalia; Primates; Hominidae
Source: RNAcentral
UAGGAAGAUUAGGACUCCUGAGUUGCCCA